CGCGGCGUAGAGCAGUUGGCAGCUCGUCGGGCUCAUAACCCGGAGGUCGUAGGUUCAAGUCCUGCCGCCGCAACCA
This 76-nucleotide transfer RNA is filed under the name Oscillospiraceae bacterium. RNAcentral describes it as "tRNA-Met". It matches the Rfam family "tRNA". From Rfam's summary of the family: Transfer RNA (tRNA) molecules are approximately 80 nucleotides in length. Their secondary structure includes four short double-helical elements and three loops (D, anti-codon, and T loops). The record is from RNAcentral. Lineage: Bacteria; Bacillati; Bacillota; Clostridia; Eubacteriales; Oscillospiraceae.